This 492-nucleotide ribosomal RNA is filed under the name uncultured bacterium. RNAcentral's name for it is "partial 16S ribosomal RNA". It matches the Rfam family "Bacterial small subunit ribosomal RNA", at positions 29 to 507 of the family's 1533-position model. The record is from RNAcentral.
AGUGAACGCUGGCGGUAGGCCUAACACAUGCAAGUCGAACGGCAGCACAGUAAGAGCUUGCUCUUACGGGUGGCGAGUGGCGGACGGGUGAGGAAUACAUCGGAAUCUACUUUUUCGUGGGGGAUAACGUAGGGAAACUUACGCUAAUACCGCAUACGACCUACGGGUGAAAGCAGGGGAUCUUCGGACCUUGCGCGAUUGAAUGAGCCGAUGUCGGAUUAGCUAGUUGGCGGGGUAAAGGCCCACCAAGGCGACGAUCCGUAGCUGGUCUGAGAGGAUGAUCAGCCACACUGGAACUGAGACACGGUCCAGACUCCUACGGGAGGCAGCAGUGGGGAAUAUUGGACAAUGGGAGCAAGCCUGAUCCAGCCAUACCGCGUGGGUGAAGAAGGCCUUCGGGCUGUAAAGCCCUUUUGUUGGGAAAGAAAAGCAGCAGGUUAAUACCCCACUGUUCUGACGGUACCCAAAGAAUAAGCACCGGCUAACUUCGUG